GCAGUAGGGAAUCUUCCACAAUGGGCGAAAGCCUGAUGGAGCAACGCCGCGUGUGUGAUGAAGGGUUUCGGCUCGUAAAACACUGUUGUAAGAGAAGAAUGACAUUGAGAGUAACUGUUCAAUGUGUGACGGUAUCUUACCAGAAAGGAACGGCUAAAUACGUGCCAG
Molecule: ribosomal RNA, 168 nt
Filed under: uncultured bacterium
Lineage: Bacteria
Description: partial 16S rRNA
Rfam family: Bacterial small subunit ribosomal RNA
Source: RNAcentral